Molecule: non-coding RNA, 6342 nt
Organism: Chrysemys picta bellii (western painted turtle)
Lineage: Eukaryota; Metazoa; Chordata; Testudines; Emydidae
Source: RefSeq, a predicted model, not a curated record
GGGGGGCCCGGGCUGCGGCGCCGAGGGGACCGUGUAACCUCCCCCUGCUCCUCCCCGGGGAGGUGCUACUGCACGCAGCGGGCUCUCCUGGCGCCGCCGCACAAAGGAGCGUGCACCGGUCCGCACGGGCCCUCCAGACUGCGGGGCCAGGAGCGCUGCAAGGGGGUGGGAUUGCAUGUGCUCUGUAGACCCCCUCCGAGCAGCGAUCUCUGGCCCUAGCCUAAGCUACCAGAGCGGAGCCGAGACUGUACCGGGAGGACAGCAGUCGGGCAGCCUCUUUUCCUGCAUUGCAUUGCAAAGGGGGUGGGGGAGAAUUGCAACAGAAGAGCCCGUUUUCCAGCGUUGCAAAGGGGGAGGGAUGCCGCGGGGGGGCGUUUUCCUGCAUUGCUCGCGCGUGGUGUGCUUGAGAGAGACCGCGAGAAAGACAAGGGGACUGGCCGCCCGUUUUCCUGCAUUGCAACGGGGGGAGGGAUUGCAGCCGGGGAGCCGGUUUUCCUGCAUUGCACAGGCUCUGGACCAUCUGCCGGAAAUCCAGGCGUGGAACCUUCCAAAUGAGGACUGGGGAGAGCAGUUGGGGGAUUCAUUUUUGGGCCCUGCAGUCGGGCGGGACAAGGGCUCAGGGACAGAGUUGUGGCUGGCAGAUCAGAGGAGUGUGUAGGUGACAGACGGAAGAGGAAGGCCCAGUGAACUGCUGCCGCAUAGAUUGUGGAGCCAGCCCUGAUGACAAGCCGUGAAACCUGAAGAAUGUCUUCUCCCUCUCGGCCAAUGGCGGUGCAGACAGUUUCUGCAGGAGUUGCGUUGCCCAGAGUAGAGGAGCUGUCCCUGCAGGGUAGAUCUUGUUUCAGCACAAAGUGGGGUAGGCUCCCUGCUCUCUGUAUCCCCCAAGAUCUGUGGGCGUCGGUCCACCAAAUCCUCAGCCCUCCAGACCCCUCCCACCAGUGGGCAUGGGUCUAGGAAACCUCUCUGAGGCUCACCUUGCUGAGUUUCCCUUCCUGCGGGUUUUUCUGCAGGAGGGAACUGCUCUGGUUCAGUGACGCAGCUGGAAAGAAUGAUGAAAUGAAUAACACUCUGUCUCCUAAGAAGCAGUAUUGUUUUCCUGUUACCACAAUGGCAACUGCUGGAGAGGCAAAAUAAGCCUCCGAUUCAGCAAGUAAUCUCUCUGGCUUUUGCACCGCACGAGGCCAUGGGAGCCCCUGGAAUUUGACCUCCUCAGCUUUGCAUAGGCUUGGACAUAUUUAUUUCGCGCUGAAUGGCAGCAGUUGCUGCGCUGAACUCCAGCGAAAUGCCAGUUUAAGUUCCAAUUGGUAUGAGUGUAACAAAGCUUCAAUUAUGCCAAAUGUUUUAGUUCCCCCUAAGGGGCUACUUAUAAUCUCAUCUCCUCACCAGUACGUCUGACCUCUGCAGCAACAGGCCUGCACAUUUUAGGAGCUCCACUCCACCAUGUUACCGAGGGUAGGUCUCAGCCAGCAUUAGAAUUACCGCAGAGGAUGUUAAAGCUUCCGACUCCUCUUUGUGACUGUAGAAUUAACGGAAAAAAACAGAGGUUCGGGGCCCAGUCCUGUAAACUUUGCACACAGGAGUAGUUGACAACAGGAGGGAGCACGGAUUACCCCGGUGAGUAAGGAUUUGCAAGAUCAGGACCAUAGUUUUUACUUUCAUGAGGUGUACAUUAGGGUAUAACUCCACAGAAGCCAGUGAAAUUGUAUGGCUGCAAAGACAAUGUAAACGAGAUCAGAGUCAGGCCUGGGAUGACUAACAGCUUCCAAAUUAUUAGUCCUCAUGUCUGAAUGGAGAACUAUUUCCUUUGCAUUCAGUACAAAACAAUACAGCUCCCCUGAAACAACAUGAAGAUUAUGAGGACAAAGCCAGGAUCCAGAAUUCCCCGUGAUGCACCACAUCAGCAGUAUAAAAAGCGCAUAAACUACAAACUUUCUGACUUUUAGAGUUUGUAUUGUUUUCCACCAUCUAAAGGAUACUGGACCAAAUCCAUCCCUGUACUAACAGUGACACCAGGAGCGACUUUGGCCCAAUAGUACUAAUAUCUUGGUUGAUUUGGGGCAAUGAUAUUAAACUGCAGCAUUGAACAUGUAGGAUAUUCCCUUUUUACAGAUGGGGAGAAAAGGCUGGGAGGGUCUGAACACACAGUCUGUCUUCUUACUGCCUCUGAAAUGUGCGUCAUAAAUCUUCAUGUGAAAUACAAUGGAGUGAGCUGGAUAAUAUUUCCUUUAUCAUUUCAGUUUAACAUUUGCUCAUGGUUGCACCCAGAUUUAAAAUUUUUUUUUCCUCACCAGCAAUAAAGUUUGAUGAGCCUUUGGCCUCGAUCCUGCACAUUGUUUUGCCCGGGUGAAGCCUUCUGUCCGUGCACAGCACCAUAGGCUUCGACAGACGCAGGGGUCUGACUGCAUGGAAUGGCCUGUGGGAUUGCGGCCUUAUUUGGUAUGUAAGGGCUAUGGGUCCGAUCCAACUCCAUUGAAAUCAAUGGGAUUCUCACCGCUGAUUUCAAUGGAAAUUGGAUCGGGGCCCAAGUCCCCAUUUUACUGAUGAGAAAAUUGAGGCACGGGACACGGAAUUACUGUCCUGCCAGGUUUAGAACAUAGCAGUUUCUGACUCCCAGUGUAUGUGAUGAGAAUAAAUACAUGAAAGUUUAUGAAGUGUUCAGGUACUAUAGUAACAAAGGCCAAAUAAGCAUUGUACAUAGAUUGUCCUGUGCACACCUCUCCCCCUCAGCAGACACUUAAAUCUCUUGGAGCCAAUGCAAGAUUUCUGCUGUGCAAACAAAUUCUCACCUGCUACUUCUGAGCCCAUUUCUUGUUAGACCCUAGUUGAGCUAAAUCCCCUAAUUCCUGCCCUUCAUCAACCAGGGUUUAACAUCAUCACACUUCCAAGUUCCCAAAUAGAGAACACUUGCAACAUAUUUUGAGAUUGAAACUUGAAAAGACUGAGGAAGGAUUGCAUGGACUGAAGGUCCCCCAUGGAGGAAGCAGCAGCGUAAAUAACGUUUGUUUAAUUGCCAAGGGUUAUGGAAUGUAGGAUUAUGGUAGGAUAAGGGGAUUUCCCCAUUGACAGCUGCUCCCACAAACGCACCCAUUAUUUAUAUACGUAACUUCUUGUUCAGACAGUAAGAAUUUAAACUGCCCAUGACACCACUGUACCCGUGAUUGCUGUUUCCACAGUUGUAACAUCUGGGUUACAUGUAGCUGUCUCCCCCAGGAAUUGUCUUUAAUAGAUGCAAUUGGAGCAGAGGUCAUUAUACUAAGAAGAGGCACAGCUCUGUGUUUGAAAAGGAAACCAUUAUUUCUAAGGUUAAUCAUUGCUAGUUAAUGCUUUGGUUCCCCUUCCCUUCUGGAGUGGUGGGAGUACUCAGCGAUUCUGAAAAUCAGGCUCAAAUCAUAGUGUCUGGGGCAGAUUUUGGUCUAUUCUACAGUGACUUUUAGUGGAUUUACUCCACAUUUAGGGCCCAUUCCUGCACCAUUGAGGUCAAUGGGAAUAGAAUUGCGGCCUUACAUGGUAUAACUGAGGUGGGGAUCUGGCCCUUUGGAGAAACAUCUAUUCAUACCAUAGAAACAAUGGAUGUCCUUCGUGAAAUGCACCCAGGGCUAGUCACUAUGUCUGCAGGCUCAGCAUUGUUGUGUUAAAUUUGCCAUUAUGUACUAGUCUGACCAAAAAAAUGUGAUUCUGUCUAUCUGUUAUGGUCUCAUACUUUCAUCUAAUGACCACCAAGUUCAGUCACACUUACGUGAGCACAAUAUCUUUGCAGGUUGGUCCACUGGCAGCUGAAUUUUGUCUCUUUCAGUAACGAAUGAAUUCAGUUGUACCCACUUACAUAUAUAGGCUGGGAUUUGGCAAAGUGGCCCUGGGGAGUAAAACACCCUAAAUCCCAGCUCUCAGCCAGAUGAGAAAACCUGGCUUUGUUUCUUUGGGCUUAUUUGUGCCACCCUAGGACUACACUCUGUGAAGUUCAGCAGAAAUCAAUGGGCCUACUCUCAAAGUGAGGGGCUAGUCAGUAUGAGUAAGGGUAGCAGAAUCAAGUCCAAAGGUACAAACCCAGAUGAGCAACCUGAGAGAGAGUGUUGCCCAGUGGAUAGAGUUCUGUAGUGGGACUCGGGAGACUUGGGUUAUAUUCUUGUCUCUGCUGGCUAGCUGUGACCAAAUCUCUUCACCUGUCUGUACCUCAGUUUCCCCAUCUGUAGAAUGAGGAUCAUGGUACUGCCCUCCUUUGUAAAGUGCUUUGAGAGCUAUAGAUGAAAGGUGCUUUAUUAAAAAUUAACUGAAGGGUUGGUACAUAGUGUGCCUACAGUCAAAGAUACUGGUCCUGAUGUCAAUCCUGUUAUACAUUAGUGUAACCUGCUCUAUUGACUUCAGUAUUAUUCCUGAUUCACCCAGGGUCUAAGUAAGAGCAGAACGAGGCACACUACAUGGGAAGGUGAAACGUAACAACAGAGCAAAGAAGAAGAAAGAUAAAAAAAGAGAUACGACGCCAAGGAAAGUUAAAAACACUGUUGUCUGGAUCCAAACCCUUAUUACUCAGAGAAUUCUCCCAUUCAAGCCCAUGAGUCACAUUCUGACCUCUGGUGUGAAUCUGGAGUAAUUUGGAAUGGCUGACAUAUCCUCUGUGAAAUGUAGAGGGGAGUAACUAACAUCUCUGGAGAUACCAAAAAAGGGCUGCCGCAGCUGGUUUUUGGAUCUUGUAAAAAUUAGGUGUUGUUUUUUUUUAAACUUGGCUAUUUUCAGUAGUGAGUUAAUCCAUUGUUCCCUGGUUAUUGUUCCGUGCCAUUGUUAGUCUAACGUUAUUAAUAUAUUAGCCCUUUGGCUGCUAAACUGGUUCUAACAAACUGCUUACAUUUAUUUUUAGAGUUGUGAAAAUUGUGAUGUGUUACAACUUGAUACAGUUGUGAUUACAUUGGAACUGAAUGCAGAGUUAAUCCUUUUCAUAACCCCCAUCCAGAACGGAGCUGCAGUCCCUGAUUCCCUACUCCUUGGAGCACAGCCAGCAGGUAUUUGUGUGGGGAAGGCCCACUCUGUGAAGAUGUGGUGAAGUCCAAAGCUCUGAUCUGUGGGUGAAGGUGAAGACUUUGGCUUCAGUGCAGCUCAUCCUGCUCCCACUGAAGUUUUGCCACUGCCUUCUGUGAGAGCAAGAACAGGCUGUUUGGAAGUUGAGAGUACCUCAUAAAGGAUCAGGCCACAGUGUAGGAACUUGUGCUGUGCAAAAAUCCUGAAUAAAUGCCCCGUCCUGCUCCUAUUGAAAUUCAUAGGAGCUUGACCUCAACUCCAUUGGGAACAAGAUCAGGACCUGAAUCAACACGCAUGGUGCUGAAAAUAGGAAAUUAAACAGCUGUUUCAGGGAUGCUCCAGCCAAGCAAUAUGUGAUCAUGUUAAUUUGGGAGAAGUAUCUCCCUUCUCUCUUAUGCAUAUGAGAGGUAGCAAAUGUUCUAUUCCUGUCUUGUUCUCUCUUCCUGUUUUUACAUAUUCUUAGCUUUGAGUUUUUAGGGCUUACCACAAGUAAGAAAUGCAGCAAUCUUUCUGUCUGAGCUGCUGUUAAUAGAACUGGCCAAAAGGAGCAAGAAGAAUAUACUAUAGAAAAACCAAGUAUGGUAAAAUAACGAAUGAACAGCACAGGCUACCCUGUGAUCGCUGUAAACACGGUAAUGAUCUUAUCACUUUAAAUCAAAUGUUAUCAGUGUUAUUCCUUCAUGAAAAAUAAUUUCUAUGUCAUCACUACAUCACUCAGGGAGAGAGCUUUAGUCCCUUGAACAGUAUGUGCAAAUCUUUAUAUGAGAAUUGCAUUAUUCUGUAGUGAUGAUGUGAUUAUCUCUAUGUUAUCAUCACACAUGACCAGCAACUGCAUCAGUUUAACAUCUACCUUUAAUAUAUGUUAUCUCAAUACUUUCCAUACAGUUUUGUCUUGAGCCUUUUAGCCUGUGAUCCCUUAUUUAUUUUGCAUACUCCCUGAUUCUAAACAUUCAGCAACCUUCUAACCAGGGAACAUAUAACUUUAUUCUCUGUAGAUGAUUAUUUGGUUUGCAUAUUACUUGGGAGUGGCAGCAGAACAGCAAGAGCACGGGAUUAGCAACUGGAAGAUCUGGGUUCUUUUCCUCACUCUGCUAUUGUUGAGUGACCUUGGCAAAUCAGUUAACUUCUCUGCGCCUCAGUUUCCCCGUGAAUAAAAUAUUCACCUCUACAAAGCACUUUGAGGUCUUUGGAGGAAAAAUCCUAGAGAAAUGCUAAGUGCUGUUUUUAUUACAUAUAUGUCAAACUGUUUACCUCGCUUUGUGGUUUGGAGAUGUUUGGGCAGCUUCCACUCAGCACAAAAAUUUAACAAAUAAAUGAUCACUCUUUGUGUUG